GGGGCGGGCCUUUCAGGCAUCCUCUCCUAUAAACUUUGCAGGGCCGGCCUUUCGGGGUCGGCCCAUUUUUUUGUGCCCG
Molecule: small RNA, 79 nt
Filed under: Sphingomonas changbaiensis NBRC 104936
Lineage: Bacteria; Pseudomonadati; Pseudomonadota; Alphaproteobacteria; Sphingomonadales; Sphingomonadaceae
Description: Makes More Granules Regulator RNA (mmgR)
Rfam family: Makes More Granules Regulator RNA (mmgR)
About the family: SuhB later renamed mmgR (makes more granules regulator) was a putative non-coding RNA found multiple times in the Agrobacterium tumefaciens genome and related alpha-proteobacteria. Other non-coding RNAs uncovered in the same analysis include: speF, ybhL, metA, and serC. Several studies inSinorhizobium meliloti showed that suhB element is indeed a non-coding RNA:firstly it was detected on Northern blot and called Sm8RNA, secondly in an RNAseq study referred to as SmelC689.
Source: Rfam by way of RNAcentral